RNAcentral lists this ribosomal RNA (253 nucleotides) under uncultured bacterium. RNAcentral's name for it is "partial 16S ribosomal RNA". It matches the Rfam family "Bacterial small subunit ribosomal RNA", at positions 524 to 776 of the family's 1533-position model. The record is from RNAcentral.
UACAGAGGGUGCAAGCGUUAAUCGGAAUUACUGGGCGUAAAGCGUGCGUAGACGGUUACAUAAGUCGGGUGUGAAAGCCCCGGGCUCAACCUGGGAAUUGCAUUCGAGACUGCGUAGCUAGGGUGCGGAAGAGGGAAGCGGAAUUUCCGGUGUAGCGGUGAAAUGCGUAGAUAUCGAGAGGAACACCUGCGGCGAAGGCGGGUAGCUGGGCCGACACUGACGCUGAGGCGCGAAAGCCAGGGGAGCGAACGGG